Non-coding RNA from Manis javanica (Malayan pangolin), 3397 nucleotides. The record is from RefSeq and is a predicted model, not a curated record. NCBI's taxonomy places the organism in Eukaryota, Metazoa, Chordata, Mammalia, Pholidota, Manidae.
CCGGACUUUCCUCCAUGGGACUGAAGUAUCCCUGGGACCAAGGAGGGACUUUGAAGACCUGAGAUGCCCGUGGGAAGCUGGAGUGCAAGAAUGGCUUCCUCCUGUUGUUUUUCUGAACUUGAAAAGACAUCUCAGGCUACCGGGAGUGGCAAGCCUGCUUCAUACCCCACAUUGACCGUGAAGGGGUCCGGAAGCCAUCAGCACCUGCCCCUGGGAAGCUGUGCGCUGGCUUCCUCCAUGGCUCAGAGACGCAGGAUGUCAGACUCCUUAGAUGCCACUGUGGUAACACGAGGACAAGGGACCGAGAGAGAGCGCGGUGUCCCCAGCACACGCAGCCCCCGCCGACGGGAAGACUGAACCAAGCCCCGCCCUUCUCUGGCCACUAUGUCCUCAGCUUUAGAAUGAGGAACCUCAAUAAGAUCCCUGAGUUGGUGGGGCUCAACUUUGGGAUCUCGCCUGCAGCUGCUGUCAGAGAGACGGUGGCUGGGGUCUGAGUCAUCUGAAGGCUUGGCUCAGCCGGGAUGUCCACCGUGGUGCACGCACACAGCUGGCAGUGGACUGGAGGGCACCCAUGGGGAUUCUCGGUGAGGGCUCUACAUGAGAAAGGGAAGGAGGAGAAGGCCCCCCUGAGUGAAGCCGGCCACGGGGGACAUAAGGGCGCUGGGCUCAAAGCCCACAUGGAAGUGCAGCUGUGAGGAAGGCCUUCAGAAAUGAGUUGGCAAAGGAAAUGCUACGGUGCCUCCCAUCAGCUCUGCUGGAAACGAGCUGGCCUCACAUCCAUCCUCAGUACCCAGGUUCCCAGAUUCCUGGAGCUUUAGAGAGCAUAACGUCUACCCCUCAACAAGAGAAGCACGUGGGUGUGAUUUCCGGCCUUGACCCUGAGGAAGCCGCACCGCCAGGCAGGGUCUCUAUGUGAGAUGCCAGAGGGACUUGGAACUCGGAAAACAUCAGCGAGAGUCAUCAGACCCACUCUGCUUACCAGAUGGACCCCUCUUAUUGUCCUUUCCCUUAAGGUCCACUGUGUUGCCCUGGAGAUGCCCCCACGUGCAGCCCCAGGGAGGCCACAGCUCCCCCAAGUCUCAGGCCUCUGUGCAGCCGCUGGGCGCACAGCAAAAAUUCGUCUGGAGAGUCCCUGGGCCCAGGACUGAGGGGAAUUUCAAGGCCCACGGAUGCAAAGCAGUUUUCAGGGCCGCCUCUGUGCGCAGCUCACGCUGGCGCCUCUCUGCCCGGGAGGCCUCCCUGCCACGCAGGCUGGUCCCGGGGAAGGUCUCCCGCGCUUGCUCAGAACCUGUAUUCCUGCGCCUUCGGCUCGCCCACCUCUCCUGACUCCCACCCCACCCACACCGGGGAAUCUAAUUGCUCCUCCAUUCUCUGGGGGCUCACGUGUGGAAGGGGCCACAUCAGGGCCUUCUGAUCAGCGUCACUGGGGUGCCUCCCACACGCCUGGCACCACGCUGGGGACGAAGAGGCUCAAGAGUGGACGGGCCCCCUUCCUGAAAGGCCUGCGAUGCGGAAGGAGGAGGGAGCCCGGAUGGCUGGUCCGGCCAGUCUCACCGAGCCCAGCGCGAGCACUGGGGGGAGAGGGGUGCUUGAGCCGCGCUGCAGAAAGAUGACUGGAGCAGGCGAACGGUGACCCAAAACCCCCGCGUCGGAGGCUCGAGGCUGUGACCGGCGUCGCGGGCCACGGGGGUCAGGCACUCACUGCGGUUUGCUCACUGUGAGGACGUCAGCCUGGACGGGACGGAGCCAGUUUGGACUUGCUGGACAUCUGGUAUUUGCCCCGCAGGCAGGGGCCGCCUUCGGACGGCCGACGGCCCACAGCGCGUGCUGCGCUCGGCCCCCAAAUUCCACUGGACCACACGGUCAAGUCUCCCUUUCUCGGGUUAGGCCACCAGCUUUCAAAUCACUUUCCAGAAGACACAGUUUAUCUCUUCCCUGCCUGACGAUUCCUUUCAAAAAAUCCUUUAAUUUAUGCACAGAUCAGUAGCCUGGAAAGUCGAACCUCCACGAGUGGCAGGGAGAGAAUAAAUGUGUCCAGUUUCCCGGGAAGAGACCCUGGGGGUGAUGAGGCUGCUGGAACCCAGACGGGCCGGGGCGCACUGCAGGCCUGCGCAUGCCAAGUGUCCCGUCACCUCUCCGGCUGGGCGAUGACAGCGCCGGGCCGGCGGGACUGAGCCUGGACGUUGCUCCGCCUCAGGCAGGGCCCUCACUGGGAGAGCCGCCCCCAGGGUGGUCUGAGGGCACCCAGCCCCUGCACCCAUGAUCCCCCCCCCCCACCGCAGAGGUGCCACUUCACUGGCAUCGCGCCGUGCCCUCGGGUCCCACUCCUUCCGUUCCUGCUGCUGGACUGCGUCUUCCCCUCCCGCCCAGGGCCAUUCACCUCCUCAGCCGACGUUCGGGUGUCCAGCUAACGGUAAAGCAUCCAUGCGUAGAGUGAAGACCCUGCCUCCAGUCUGAUUUUGCUGUUUCUUAGCUCUUUUGAUCUCGAGAAAAAGGGCUUUUCUGUCCAAGAGGUCUCAUUUUUGGAAAAGGUGCUCUGAUACUUCCCUGAGUCACCACAUGUAAUCUUUGUGUGCGGACGACGGCAUGUCGGGCUGUAAGUAGUGCAACUCCCUGGUGCUGAACAGAGGCCCGACGGUGGCCGCCUGCCCGACUGCACUCGCUUCCCUCGGCCGGCCUCCUGAGAGGGGAGAACUGGUUACACACCGUUAAUCAUCUACACAACUAUUAAUCCACAUCUGUUAUAUGCUUGAAGUAAAAGACAUCUCACAGGAGGAUCAAACUGGGGUGAAGGAAAACAUAAAAGUUCAAGGAUUUCCUGGAUUUGGAACAUAAUGUCUAUGCAUUUGCAAUAUGAAGGCAGAUCUAUACACUAUUCUCUGGCGGCCACCGCUCACGGACUGAUCUCAUCAUCAUUAUUGAAAAUUAUCGGAGUUGAAACAUGGAAGGAAUUGAAUUCAGCUGCCAGUGCUACCAUCUGAAGACCAGUGUCUAGAACAACAGAGGGAGGUAUUUCCCUCUCACUUAAACACAGAGGCGGACAGUCCAGAGGGAGUGCAGUGGCCCUGUGAUGAGGUCAGUGCCUCAGCCUCCUUCCGUCAUCCUUCUCCACCGCCCUGAGCACAGUUUCUGUCCUUACGGCAGCAAGAGGGUGGCCUCAGCUCCAGCCAUCACGUUUGGCUCCCAGGAAGAAAGAAGGAGGACUGUGCUUCCCCACCUGGUGACAUCAGACUCAGCCACCUGGCUGCCUUGGCCAGUGCACGGGAGUGGAAUGUGUUUCAUUUCUGGGCAGAAGUCUUAAGAACAAGCAUAUGGUUUUGAUGCCGGGGUUCUUGUUCACGAAGCUGAAGAGUGAGCUGCACAAACAGUCAAGGUAAGAGAGGAAGGUACAGGCUUU